AAAGAACCCCGGCGAGGGGAGUGAAAAAGAACCUGAAACCGUGUACGUACAAGCAGUGGGAGCACGCUUAGGCGUGUGACUGCGUACCUUUUGUAUAAUGGGUCAGCGACUUAUAUUCUGUAGCAAGGUUAACCGAAUAGGGGAGCCGAAGGGAAACCGAGUCUUAACUGGGCGUUAAGUUGCAGGGUAUAGACCCGAAACCCGGUGAUCUAGCCAUGGGCAGGUUGAAGGUUGGGUAACACUAACUGGAGGACCGAACCGACUAAUGUUGAAAAAUUAGCGGAUGACUUGUGGCUGGGGGUGAAAGGCCAAUCAAACCGGGAGAUAGCUGGUUCUCCCCGAAAGCUAUUUAGGUAGCGCCUCGUGAAUUCAUCUCCGGGGGUAGAGCACUGUUUCGGCA
This 400-nucleotide ribosomal RNA is filed under the name Shigella sonnei. RNAcentral's name for it is "partial 23S ribosomal RNA". It matches the Rfam family "Bacterial large subunit ribosomal RNA", at positions 518 to 920 of the family's 2925-position model. Lineage: Bacteria; Pseudomonadati; Pseudomonadota; Gammaproteobacteria; Enterobacterales; Enterobacteriaceae. The record is from RNAcentral.